GGACGAACGCUGGCGGCGUGCUUAACACAAUGCAAGUCGAGCGGUAAGGGCCCUUUCGGGGGUACACGAGCGGCGAACGGGUGAGUAACGACGUGGGUGACCUGCCCUCAGCUCUGGGAUAAGCCUGGGAAACCCGGGUCUAAGUACUGGAUAUGACGUCCAUGACGCAUGUUGUGGGGUGGAAAGCCUUGUGCGGCUGAGGAUGGGCCCGCGGCCUAUCAGCUUGUUGGUGGGGUGANGGCCUACCAAGGCGACGACGGGUAGCCGGCCUGAGA
This 275-nucleotide ribosomal RNA is filed under the name uncultured bacterium. RNAcentral describes it as "partial 16S ribosomal RNA". It matches the Rfam family "Bacterial small subunit ribosomal RNA", at positions 27 to 297 of the family's 1533-position model. The record is from RNAcentral.